GUUUUCUGGAGAGUCCAGACUGUAGACUGGAGACUCUGGAGUGGAGGUGAUAAACAGGAGGGUGUGUGAGGUGAGAGGAUGAGCUGUGUCCUGAUGAUCCAGAGGCUGAAGCAGCAGCAGCUUGUGUGGACAGAGACUCUGACUGCAGAUAAAUGCUGAUGUUGAUCAAGAAGUGAGCAGCUCAGUCACAAACAUGAGCUUAAACUCACACAUUAUUCUCCCAGUGAUGCAGCCAGUGUUCAGUUCUACUGACUCUGAUACAGUGGUGUGAAAAAGAGUUUGGAUCCUUCAGGAUUUAUUAGUUUUACUGUUUGUCACCUAAAUGUUUUAGAUCAUUGAACAAAUUUAAAUAAGAGACAAAGAACACAAGUAAACACAAGAUGCAGUUUUUAUUAUUAAAGGAAAUAAAUCCAAUACUAUAUAA
Molecule: long non-coding RNA, 424 nt
Organism: Mugil cephalus (flathead mullet)
Lineage: Eukaryota; Metazoa; Chordata; Actinopteri; Mugiliformes; Mugilidae
Exons: 2
Source: RefSeq, a predicted model, not a curated record